UUAGUAGAGACGGGGUUUCACUAUGUUGGCCAGGAUGGUCUCGAUCUCUUGACCUUGUGAUCCGCUGUCUCUUCUUGCCACGCAGUUCUGCAACCCGUCCUACACAGAGUGACAGCAGCAAAACUGUGGUGGUGGUGGUGAUUGUUUUCCUUUUUCUUGCUAAGUUUUAUGACUGAAACCCAUUAACAUUGAUCUCAACCAUUUGAGUUGUUUGGGGGUACACUAGGGGUUCCAGAAAAUGAGUUACCAUCAGAUUUCAUCUAUUUCUGGUUGAUCUAUAAGUGUUGGACUUUCAUAGACCUCCAUCCAACUGACUGAAAAUUUUCAAACAGGCAGCAAAGAUAGAAGCAUAGUACAAUGAACACCUGUAGACUGUCUCCCUGGCUCUAACCAUUGUUUAUAUUUUGUCAUAUACAGUUUUCUCUCUCUCUCUCUGUACACACACACACACACACACACACACAUUUUGUUUUGAUUUUUUCUUAACCAUUUGAAAGUAAAUUGUAGGCUGAGUGUGGUGGCUCAUGCCAGUAAUCCCAGCACCUUGGGAGGCUGAAGCAGGCAGAUCACUAGGUCAGGAGUUCGAGACCAGCUUGACCAACAUGGUGAAACCCCGUCUUUACUAAAAAUACAAAAAUUAGUCAGGCGUGGAGGCACGCACCUGUAACGCCAGCUACUUGGGAGGCUGAGGCAGGGGAAUUGCUUGAACCCAGGAAGUGGAGGUGGCAGUGAGCCAAGAUCACACCAUUGCACUCCAGCCUGGGUGACAGAGCGAGACUCCGUCUCAAAAAAAAAAAGAAAAGAAAAGAAAAACAAAGAAAAAAGAAGGUAAAUUGUAAAUUGUAAAUGAUCAUGAUACUUGACUAUAAAUAUUUCAUUAGAUGUCUACCAAGGACAUUCUCCUAUGUAUCUGCGACACCAUUAUCAUACCUCAUAACAUUAAUUUUUAAAAAAAUUAACUCUAGCGUCAUCUACUAUCCAGUUCAUAUUCACGUUUUCCCAAUUGCAUCCAAAACAUCUUUUAUAGCUUUUUUAAAAAAAUAAAAAAUAAAGCAGGAUCUAAUCAAAGAUCAGUAUGUUCAUUGUUACGUCUUUUUAUCAACUUCAAUCUAGAACAGUCUCCCAGACUUUUUGUUAUGACUGACUUUCUGAAGGGCCUAGCUGAGUUGUCUUAUAGACAACCCCACAGCCUGGAUUUUUUUUUCUCUCUCUCUCUCUGCAGAUUUGUUUUUGUGUGUUUUUUGUUUUUUGUUUGUUUGCUGCAACCUCCACCUCCCGGGUUCAAGCGAUCCUCCUGCCUUAGCCUCACGAGUAGCUGAAAUUACAGGCAUGCGCCACCACACCCAGCUAAUUUUGUAUUUUUAGUAGAGACGAGGUCUCUCCAUGUUGGUCAGGGUGGUCUUGAACUCCCAGCCUCAGGUGAUCCACCUGCCUCGGCCUCCCAAAGUGCUGGGAUUACAGGUGUGAGCCACCAAGCCUGGCCCAGGUUUUUUUAGUUGAGCAAUGUUACUACCUUGUUGAAGGUAAGAAAGUGUGUCUCUGCCAAUAGGCAAUUUCCUCAAGAUAUGUUGCCAUGCAGGUUUAUUGACAUCUUAUCUACUCCUAAAAAGAAUUUGAGGCAGUUUAUAAUAAAAGAGAAAGUCUGUUGAAAAAAAGAGAAAAUAUUUUCUUAACAUGUAGAAGGAUGGUGGGUGGGAGGAAGGAGGGGAAUAGAGGUGCUAUAAACACAUUAGUGUCGUUCGUAUAACUAAACGCAAAAUUUCACUUUAAAAUGAGUUCAGUCGAGGUAACUUGAUUUCUGCAUCUAACACGAGGGAGAACUGAGGAUGGGUGGGCUGCCUGGCUCCCACUCUUGUCCUCAGUCCCCUACUGUCUCCCUCGGCCUUCCCUGGGCAGGUCCUCAGGUACAGGCAGAUGUCAGCUGGACCCCAGAUGAGGAAACAGAGCAGGUGCAAGGCUGGACCUCAAGGAUGAAGCUAAGCCUGAGUCAGGGGCUGUCCCAGACAGACAGCUCCUCAUCCAACAACCUCCCCACAGAGCUGGGCUGCAGCUGAACUUGCAUUUUAUGAUAAUUGCUUUUUCAGUCUGCUUAAGUGCUGAACAGCACAGCAGGGCUGCGUUCUCCUCCCCUGGAGAACGUUUACAGAUGGUGUUGCAGUGAGGAUGGAUUCCUGUACUUUCCGAGGGUGGGGGAGCACCGUGUUGUCCUUUCAUGCCACUUUGCCUCCUGUCAGUCCCAUGGGGUGGGUUUGCUCUAAGGUGUACCUGUGGCUAACCCGAAGGGUUUCAUAUGGCCAUUUGAACUGCAGAAAGUGCUGCCAAAACAUACAAAAUUCAUGUGCUUUGAGAUAAUAAUUUUUCAGUUGCUUAUACAUGACGUUACAGAAAUUGUUGGCCACAGAGAAAAAAUUCCCCAUGAUCUCACCACUCCUGAAACCAACUAAGUCACCUGCUCAGAGCCACUCUCUGUGGACUCCCUUCUGCAUUAAAGGAAAUGCACCUGUUCAUCUCCUUUCUAGAAUAAAACAUGACUAUACAUGUCAUUUAGAUGUGUAUGUGUAUGCAUACCUAUAUAUUUGUAUUCUUUUGUGGUCUUUAAAUGUAUUUUUAUAGUUAUAAUUCACAUACCAUUUUGUACAGUACUUUUUCUCACUUAAUUUUAUAGCUCAUGCUUUUUUCCAUUACCAUGUGGUCUUUAUAAAUCAUUUUUAUUUGUAUUUUAUUUUUUACUUUUAUUUAUUUAUGUAUUUAUUUUUGAGAGAGUCUCACUCUGUCACCUAGGCUGGAGUGCAGUGGUGCAAUUUCAGCCCACCACAACCUCCACCUCCCAGGUUCAAGUGAUUCUCGUGCCUCAGCCUCCCAAGUAGAUGGGACUAUAGGCACCUGCCACCACCCCCAGCUAAUUUUUGUAUUUUUAGUAGAGACAGCGUUUCGCCAUGUUGUCCAGACUGGUCUCAAACUCCUGACCUCAGGUGAUCCGCCCCCUCAGCCUCCCAAAGGGCUGGGAUUACAGGCAUGAGCCACCACACCCAGCCCACAAAGCAUUUUUAAAAAUGGAUAAAUGAUUUUCUAUUGAAUCAAUGCACUGUAAUUUAACUCAUCCCAUUUUCAGGCAAAGUCUGUUGUUUCCACCUCUCCUUUUCAUCCAUUAUCAUUCACACUUCCCUAGCCAUAAUUACACAAUAAGAUCAAUGGCUUGCCACAACCCUUCCUGGCUUGUGAUGGUUAGAUUACGCUGGCCUCAGGGAGGGAGAUGGUUGCAUUUCCUCUUGGUAUGGCUGGGAAAGAUGCAACCCACUCAAUAUUUAAAUAUAAGGGGCGGGGACACAGCCUCUUUACACAGCCUGAGACUGACACCUUGCCCAGGGGAAUGAGCAAGAGCAGGAUUGAACCCAGAGCUGGGUGGCAUCGUGAAAAUGGGACACUCAGGGUAUCAGUGACAAAUAAUUUAGAGGCUGCUUGCCCCUGGAGUAGAAUGUCUGGCACAUAAGGCCAGGUGUGCGCCUCGCUGAGGAGUCUGUGCGUCAUCUUGAUGGGAUGGUGCCAUGGUGAUUGUCAGCCAGCCUCUCCUUAUUGCCCGCUCACCCCACACACAAGGCAUGUUGAUAUGGAAGAGAGACUUGAAGGAUUGCCAGGCAUCGGCCACACAGAAGAUGUGACGGGGAGUUGUCCUAAACCCAUAUGUUUUUAUCAUCCUGUACUUGUCAAAGAGCUUUGAAGUUCACGACCUUGCUCUGGUUCCCACGGGGGGAUCGUCCUGGGCUUCCAUCAUCCCUUUUUCCUGUCAACCGUGUGUUGCAUGCAGAUGCCACCCCCAUGCCUUGCCGGAGACUCCCCUAAAAAGCUGGGAUUAUGUCUUUGAAAUUAUUAAUUUUCAUGAAUAGCAUGAAAAAAUUUUUUUGUAAUCCCAGCUACUCGGGAGGCUGAGGCAGGAGAAUCGCUUGAACCCGGGAGGCGGAGUUUGCAGUGAGCUGAGAUCGCGCCAUUGCCCUCCAGCCUGGGCAACAAGAGUGAAACUCUGUCUCAAAAAGAAAAAAAAAAAUUUAAAGCCACUUCACUCCAGUGAACUAAGCUAUUGCAAUUUUUCUGUGUUCAGUUCUAGUCCUCAGCUGCACAGGCACGUCAGAUCUUACCAAUUUAUUUAAGUUUUAUUUUAAGUUCAGGGGUACAUGUGCAGGUCGGUUAUAUAGGUAAACUUGUGCCGUGGAGGUUUAUUGUAUAGAUUAUUUCAUCACCCAGGUAUUAAGCCUAGUACACAUUAGUUAUUUUUCCUGAUCCUCUCCCUCCUCCCACCCUUCACCCCCAGGUAGGCCCCAGUGUGUGUGGUUCCCCUCUAUGUGUCCAUGUGUUCUCAUCAUUUAGCUCCCACUUAUAAGUGAGAACAUGCAGUUUCUGGUUUUCUGUUCCUGCAUUAGUUUGCUAAAGAUAAUGGCCUCCAGCUCCACCCACGUUCCUACAAAGGACAUGAUCUGGCUCUUUUUUAUGGCUGCAUAGUGUUCCAGGAGGUCUUACCAAUUUAUUACCAUGGUGACGUUGCCACCCUGCAUUCUGUUUGCUCAUUUUCUCUAAUGUGGUCUCAUCAUCAAUAUUUUCCCACGUGGUACAAUGUCUACGUAAUCACCAUUUUAACAGCUCUGUGCCCAUCCAGAGAAUGGGCGCGCCCCACUUUAAACUCUCGAUGCUGGACACAGAAACUGAGUUCACAAUUGUAAGCCGGAAGCAUCUUCAGGCACAUGGAGUAUUUGGCCUACAGAGGACAUUAACAGAUGGAGUUUAGUGGUUAACAGUUGGUCACACCCAAUGUCACCAACCUGGCACCUAAGGGUGCACUGUGGGGAGCACCCUCCUGGCCAUGUGUCCAGAGCAUCCCCUGCCCGUGCAGACCAUCCAGCCACUCUCUGCCUGGCUGGACCCUGGCAUUCCCAGGUCCUCUUCCCACACUUGCGGAGGGAAGGCACAGCCAGAUGUGCAGCCCCACCCGAGCUAAGCCCUGCUCCAUUACCGACCGGCCCCACCGAAUGUGUUUUCUGUGUAGUUCGUGGCUACGCUCUGGAAUUUCAGACCACGCUGAAUUUACUUGUUUUAUGGCUAGGAAUUUCAGGAGGAGCACCACAGAUGUUAAACGCAGGAGUCUCUUGGUGCUAGUAAAAUAAACCUUACUCAAACAGGGGUGUCGUGACUCAAAGGGUUAGAUAGCCCAUGAUACAGGAUGUCGGUCACCAAUGCAGAUGUUGUAAGUUGAGUCAUUUGACAGCAUGGUAACUUUAUAUGGCCAGAGAGCCAGCUGUGACUAUUUAAAGGGAUGGGGGGUCAGGGGGAAUGCAUUUUUAUUUCUAGACAAAUAUAUUUCUGAUCGUAACUUAAAUACUUUCUUUUAGUCAAAAUACUGAUUUUUCUUUCUCCCCGCAUUCUCGAAAGAGAAGCCCUUCCUAUCCUUUUGGCGUUCAACCCCACCAAACUGGCUUCACAUUAGAGACCCUGCAAGGCUUAAAUUAGAACCUCACUUUUGAAACCUGUUGGAAGGACUUUUUUUUUAAUUUUAUUAUUAUUAUACUUUAAGUUUUAGGGUACAUGUGCACAACAUGCAGGUUUGUUACGUAUCUAUACAUGUGCCAUGUUGGUGUGCUGCACCCGUUAACUCGUCAUUUAGC
This 5651-nucleotide long non-coding RNA is filed under the name Homo sapiens (human). Its description in RNAcentral is "non-protein coding lnc-HLCS-6:1". Lineage: Eukaryota; Metazoa; Chordata; Mammalia; Primates; Hominidae. The record is from RNAcentral.